CUCCCUCGGAUUGCUGGCCAUGCUCUUCGUGAUGAACCCUAGGAUAACACUCGCCUUUUUGGCCACAAGGACGCAAGGAAUGCAUUGAAACCAGAACCCACCCAUGUCAGAGACAAGCCUUGGGCAUACUGAGAUAUUAUGUACACCUUCCUGCUUUACAUGUCCUGCCUGGCAAUUGAGUGGUUCUCCCACAUGAAGAGGACAACAGUGAACAGUUAAGCAGUGAAAUCCAUCAGGCUGAGGAUGCUGGAGGUGCUUCUUUUCAAGCUCAUCUUUUCUGCGUUGGAAACUGAAAUACUUGCUUCAGAGUUAAAUAGUUGGAGCGUGAUCCUGAUGCUACAAAAGCCAAAACCAAACUUUCUGCUUUUUUUAAAGAGCCAGAUCUACCUUUAUGCUCUCUACAGUGUUUCUGGAUAUUGAUAACUUUCAUAGCAGAAACAUUAGGAACAAGUACAUCCAUACUGGGAGUGUCUUUUCUUCUGGACAUCUCUCCUACAACUCAGAUGUGUUAUGUUGGGAACCUCAACCUUGAGAAUCCAAAGAUAGAGUUGUACAAAAUCUGUAGAAACUUGGGAAAACA
This 580-nucleotide long non-coding RNA is filed under the name Gallus gallus (chicken). The record is from RNAcentral. Lineage: Eukaryota; Metazoa; Chordata; Aves; Galliformes; Phasianidae.